RNAcentral lists this non-coding RNA (46 nucleotides) under Schistosoma curassoni. Lineage: Eukaryota; Metazoa; Platyhelminthes; Trematoda; Strigeidida; Schistosomatidae. The record is from RNAcentral.
ACACUGCUGAGGAGUCCCACGACAAGACGAAACAGCUGUCCAGUGC